AGCGAACGCUGGCGGCAGGCCUAACACAUGCAAGUCGAACGAACCUUUCGGGGUUAGUGGCGGACGGGUGAGUAACACGUGGGAACGUGCCUUUAGGUUCGGAAUAACUCAGGGAAACUUGUGCUAAUACCGAAUGUGCCCUUCGGGGGAAAGAUUUAUCGCCUUUAGAGCGGCCCGCGUCUGAUUAGCUAGUUGGUUGAGGUAAUGGCUCACCAAGGCGACGAUCAGUAGCUGGUCUGAGAGGAUGAUCAGCCACAUUGGGACUUAGACACGGCCCAAACUCCUACGGGAGGCAGCAGUGGGGAAUCUUGCGCAAUGGGCGAAAGCCUGACGCAGCCAUGCCGCGUGAAUGAUGAAGGUCUUAGGAUUGUAAAAUUCUUUCACCGGGGACGAUAAUGACGGUACCCGGAGAAGAAGCCCCGGCUAACUUCGUG
Molecule: ribosomal RNA, 434 nt
Filed under: uncultured bacterium
Lineage: Bacteria
Description: partial 16S ribosomal RNA
Rfam family: Bacterial small subunit ribosomal RNA
Source: RNAcentral